RNAcentral lists this ribosomal RNA (562 nucleotides) under uncultured bacterium. RNAcentral's name for it is "bacterial SSU rRNA". It matches the Rfam family "Bacterial small subunit ribosomal RNA", at positions 338 to 911 of the family's 1533-position model. The record is from RNAcentral.
CCUACGGGAGGCAGCAGUGGGGAAUAUUGGGCAAUGGAGGAAACUCUGACCCAGCGACGCCGCGUGCGGGAUGAAGGCCUUCGGGUUGUAAACCGCUUUCAGUAGGGAAGAAGCGAAAGUGACGGUACCUACAAAAGAAGCACCGGCUAACUAUGUGCCAGCAGCCGCGGUAAUACAUAGGGUGCAAGCGUUGUCCGGAAUUAUUGGGCGUAAAGAGCUCGUAGGUCGUUUGUUACGUCGGAUGUGAAAACCUGAGGCUCAACCUCAGGCCUGCAUUCGAUACGGGCAAACUAGAGUUUGGUAGGGGAGACUGGAAUUCCUGGUGUAGCGGUGGAAUGCGCAGAUAUCAGGAGGAACACCAAUGGCGAAGGCAGGUCUCUGGGCCAAUACUGACACUGAGGAGCGAAAGUCUGGGGAGCGAACAGGAUUAGAUACCCUGGUAGUCCAGACCGUAAACGGUGGGCACUAGUUGUGGGAACCUUCCACGGUUUCUGCGACGCAGCUAACGCAUUAAGUGCCCCGCCUGGGGAGUACGAUCGCAAGAUUAAAACUCAAAUGAAUU